CGGGUCACACACGGGAGUCCGGUGAGCCGGGCUGAGAGGAAGCGAUCCACGCUUCGACCGUCGAACCUGAUCUGGGUCAUGCCAGCGCAGGGAGGAGAGAUCGAUGAGCAU
Molecule: non-coding RNA, 111 nt
Filed under: Microbacterium sp.
Lineage: Bacteria; Bacillati; Actinomycetota; Actinomycetes; Micrococcales; Microbacteriaceae
Also listed under: 1 other name
Description: TPP sequence
Rfam family: TPP riboswitch aptamer (THI element)
About the family: Vitamin B(1) in its active form thiamin pyrophosphate (TPP) is an essential coenzyme that is synthesised by coupling of pyrimidine and thiazole moieties in bacteria. The previously detected thiamin-regulatory element, thi box was extended, resulting in a new, highly conserved RNA secondary structure, the THI element, which is widely distributed in eubacteria and also occurs in some archaea.
Source: RNAcentral